RNAcentral lists this transfer RNA (85 nucleotides) under Medicago truncatula (barrel medic). RNAcentral's name for it is "tRNA-OTHER". It matches the Rfam family "tRNA". From Rfam's summary of the family: Transfer RNA (tRNA) molecules are approximately 80 nucleotides in length. Their secondary structure includes four short double-helical elements and three loops (D, anti-codon, and T loops). Lineage: Eukaryota; Viridiplantae; Streptophyta; Magnoliopsida; Fabales; Fabaceae. The record is from RNAcentral.
GGAGAGAUGGCCGAGUGGUUGAAGGUGCAGUACUGGAACUGCUAUGUAGGCUUUUUGUUUACCGAGGGUUCGAACUCUCUUUCCG